AGAGUUUGAUCAUGGCUCAGAUUGAACGCUAGCGGGAUGCCUUACACAUGCAAGUCGAACGGCAGCACGGACUUCGGUCUGGUGGCGAGUGGCGAACGGGUGAGUAAUAUAUCGGAACGUGCCCAGUAGCGGGGGAUAACUACGCGAAAGCGUGGCUAAUACCGCAUACGCCCUAAGGGGGAAAGCGGGGGAUCUUAGGACCUCGCACUAUUGGAGCGGCCGAUAUCGGAUUAGCUAGUUGGUGAGGUAAUGGCUCACCAAGGCGACGAUCCGUAGCUGGUUUGAGAGGACGACCAGCCACACUGGGACUGAGACACGGCCCAGACUCCUACGGGAGGCAGCAGUGGGGAAUUUUGGACAAUGGGGGAAACCCUGAUCCAGCCAUCCCGCGUGUGCGAUGAAGGCCUUCGGGUUGUAAAGCACUUUUGGCAGGAAAGAAACGUCAUGGGUUAAUACCCUGUGAAACUGACGGUACCUGCAGAAUAAGCACCGGCUAACUCCGUGCCAGCAGCCGCGGUAAUACGGAGGGUGCGAGCGUUAAUCGGAAUUACUGGGCGUAAAGCGCGCGUAGGCGGUU
This 577-nucleotide ribosomal RNA is filed under the name uncultured bacterium. RNAcentral's name for it is "bacterial SSU rRNA". It matches the Rfam family "Bacterial small subunit ribosomal RNA", at positions 8 to 580 of the family's 1533-position model. The record is from RNAcentral.